RNAcentral lists this ribosomal RNA (433 nucleotides) under uncultured bacterium. RNAcentral's name for it is "partial 16S ribosomal RNA". It matches the Rfam family "Bacterial small subunit ribosomal RNA", at positions 29 to 507 of the family's 1533-position model. The record is from RNAcentral.
AACGAACGCUGGCGGCAUGCCUAACACAUGCGAGUCGAACGAGACCUUCGGGUCUAGUGGCGCACGGGUGCGUAACGCGUGGGAACCUGCCCUUAGGUUCGGAAUAACUCCCCUAAAGGGGUGCUAAUACCGGAUAAUGUCUUCGGACCAAAGAUUUAUCGCCUUUGGGUGGGCCCGCGUUGGAUUAGCUAGUUGGUAGGGUAAAAGCCUACCAAGGCGACGAUCCAUAGCUGGUCUGAGAGGAUGAUCAGCCACACUGGGACUGAGACACGGCCCAGACUCCUACGGGAGGCAGCAGUGGGGAAUAUUGGACAAUGGGCGAAAGCCUGAUCCAGCAAUGCCGCGUGAGUGAUGAAGGCCUUAGGGUUGUAAAGCUCUUUUACACGGGAUGAUAAUGACAGUACCGGGAGAAUAAGCGCCGGCUAACUCCGUG